This 583-nucleotide ribosomal RNA is filed under the name uncultured bacterium. RNAcentral's name for it is "partial 16S ribosomal RNA". It matches the Rfam family "Bacterial small subunit ribosomal RNA", at positions 355 to 1375 of the family's 1533-position model. The record is from RNAcentral.
UGGGGAAUUUUGGACAAUGGGCGAAAGCCUGAUCCAGCAAUGCCGCGUGUGUGAAGAAGGCCUUCGGGUUGUAAAGCACUUUUGUCCGGAAAGAAAUCCUUGGCUCUAAUACAGUCGGGGGAUGACGGUACCGGAAGAAUAAGCACCGGCUAACUACGUGCCAGCAGCCGCGGUAAUACGUAGGGUGCAAGCGUUAAUCGGAAUUACUGGGCGUAAAGCGUGCGCAGGCGGUUUGCUAAGACCGAUGUGAAAUCCCCGGGCUCAACCUGGGAACUGCAUUGGUGACUGGCAGGCUAGAGUAUGGCAGAGGGGGGUAGAAUUCCACGUGUAGCAGUGAAAUGCGUAGAGAUGUGGAGGAAUACCGAUGGCGAAGGCAGCCCCCUGGGCAAUACUGACGCUCAUGCACGAAAGCGUGGGGAGCAAACAGGAUUAGAUACCCUGGUAGUCCACGCCCUAAACGAUGUCAACUAGUUGUUGGGGAUUCAUUCCUUAGUAACGUAGCUAACGCGUGAAGUUGACCGCCUGGGGAGUACGGUCGCAAGAUUAAAACUCAAAGGAAUUGACGGGGUCAUAGCUGUUUCCU